This 2319-nucleotide ribosomal RNA is filed under the name Clostridioides difficile P30. RNAcentral describes it as "partial 16S ribosomal RNA". The stretch from base 55 to 151 matches the Rfam family "c-di-GMP-I riboswitch aptamer". The record is from RNAcentral. Lineage: Bacteria; Bacillati; Bacillota; Clostridia; Peptostreptococcales; Peptostreptococcaceae.
AAUAAGUAUAUUGAAUAAUAAGCAAUUCUAUUGUAUUAUUGUAAUUGUAGAAUAAAACUAAAUCGGCAAAACUAGAGAAAUUUAGUGACGCAAAGCUAUAGGGACUAACGCUUAUAAAAUAAACUAUGAGUUAUGUCAGCCAGUUGCCAAAAAGAGAUAUUCUUUUUGUUUUUAUGAAAGUUUUUUAGGGGGAUAAUAAUAUAUAUGUUUAGAGAUAAAAUGGAUAGAUGUACACAUAUGUUGACUGCUUAUAUUGGUAGUUCAUAUGAUUAUUGUGAUUUUAUAGAUACACAACUAGAUGAUUUUAUACUAGAGUACGGAGAAAAUGUGGUAGAAUCUUGUUUGCAUCAAGUGAUGGUAUUAGUAAGUAAGUAUAAUUAAAUAGAUUUGGUUUUCUAGAGAACCCUUUUUAGUUUUAUCUACUUUAAAUAGCCUUAUGUUAGAAAGCUAAUUAAGAUAGAUUUCUAGUAUUCAUAAUUUUAUUUUUUAUUUAAAAUACAUAUAAUAAAGAUGUAAAUUUGUAUCAAAUAAUAAAUAUGAGAACUUAAAUUCUCUUAUCUAUGUGAAAAUAAACAUCUCUUAAAAUGAAAUUCUGUAAACAUAAAUGAUUUUUUAGUUUGAAGGAUUAGAUUAACAAAAUUAUAAAUUUGCAAAUAAGCUAUAUUAAAAAAUAUAAUAAUUUUUUAUAUAACUUAUUCUUUUAUAACUUUUAAUUUUAAAAGAGGAGAAUGUAUAUAAGAGUAUUCAAUGUACUAGAAAAAAUCAAAAGAAAUAUUAGAAGAAAUGGAUAUUGAGUAAUCAAAGAAAAGAUUUUGAUAUUACAAAUGAUAUGUUUCAAGAAAGCAUUCCUAUCACAACAAAAAUUAUUCUUGAAGACAUGUCUUCAAAUGAUGAAUUAAAUCAUAUUUUUUCAAAAGGUUGUGAACGAAAAAUGAAAAAGAGAAAAAUUGUAUUAAUCACACUACUAUUAAUAGGUGUUUUGUUAUUGGGAAGUAUCCUAUAUAAUCUUUUUUUAGGAAAAACAGCUAAUAUUUCAAUGCUAAAGGAAUCUUGGAAUUUUGAUAUACCAAUACCUAACAAAGAAAUUGAAGUAUUUGAUACUCAAGAUAGUAUUAAUGGAGAUGGACAAAGUUAUUUUAUUCAAGGAUUUUCUGAAAAAAAUUUCAAAAAAGUUUUUAAUUUAAAAGGUGGUAUAGUUGUAAGUAAAGAUAAUAUUAAUGAAAUAGAAAAAUAUAUUGAUAAAUUUAAAAGAGAUUCUAUUAACAUUAAUAAAAGUAAUAAAAAUAAAAUUGAAGAAGAUUUUAAAAAAUAUAAGUUAGAAGUUAAAAAAGAUGAUAAGUAUAUAUAUAAGAGAAAUUAUGAGAACUACGUAGUUUUAAUUAUAAAAAAAGAUGAACAAAAAUUAUACAGUUUAAUAUGGAAUCAGUAGGUACAUAUGUAUUAUUAAGAAUUAUAAAUAAUAAAAAUAAAUUUUAGUCAAUAUACAAAAACCUUUUAAAUUGUCUGGAAAUCACCUCUUCAUUUGUUAUAAAAACAUACAACAAAUGAAGAGGUGAUUUUAUGGUUUUAAAAAAAAUAAUUAUAAGUGGAUAUGUGCUUUCACAUGUUUAUCAACAUUUGUAAUGCCUAUAUUUGCUAAUGAAUUAUAAAAAUAUUAAAUAAUAUUCAACUAUAGAUUAUGUAAAUUACUCUAUGAAAAAAAUGAGUUGUAUAAAAUCUGGCUACUGUAGAUUGACUAUUUCUUUUAAAAUUACAAUUAUAAUAAGUUUUAUAGAAUUAAAAAUAAAACUUUAGAGAUUUUUGAUAACAUUGUAGACUAAAUUUGCCACCGAAAUCGCUUUACAGUGGCAAAUCGGUGGCAAAUACAAUAUAUUAUUAGUAUAUAAUCUAUAUAAACAUUACUAUUGUUUGAUUAUCUUAGCUACAGUUUCAACUUGCUCAUCAUUUUCCAAACUUAUAUUAAGAUCUUCAUCAAUGAUAGGUAGCUUAAAAGUAAUGGAUUUUAGCCAUUGUCCAUUAGGCUGCUUUUCUUCAUAAAUUUGAAUUUCUGAAAUGAGUGCUUCUAUUAACUGCCUGCGUUCAACAUCGUUCAUGACUUUAUAAAGCUUGUCAAAAUAAAUCAAUACUUUAUAUAUGUUAUCACCAGUAAGUUUCUCAACCUCUAUCGUUUCUUUUUUUGCUUUAGCUUCUAUUAACUGACUUUCUAAUUCCUCAAUUUUAUCGUACAUACGAUAAAGCCUAUCAUCUAAAUCAUUUUUUCUUCUCUUAUAAUGUUUAUCCUCAACAUCUAAAUUAUCUAUUUCCUCAAUAAGCUUAUAC